CUAGAUAGUGCUGUCGACCUCUCAAUGUAUUAGGUUUAUCCAACUCGUUGAAUGGUGUGGCGGGAUAUUUCUGGUAUUGUUGGCCCGGCCUUACAACAACCAAACAAGUUUGACCUCAAAUCAGGUAGGAAUACCCGCUGAACUUAAGCAUAUCAAUAAGCGGAGGAAAAGAAACCAACAGGGAUUGCCUUAGUAGCGGCGAGUGAAGCGGCAAAAGCUCAAAUUUGAAAUCUGGCGCCUUCGGUGUCCGAGUUGUAAUUUGAAGAUUGUAACCUUGGGGUUGGCUCUUGUCUAUGUUUCUUGGAACAGGACGUCACAGAGGGUGAGAAUCCCGUGCGAUGAGAUGCCCAAUUCUAUGUAAGGUGCUUUCGAAGAGUCGAGUUGUUUGGGAAUGCAGCUCUAAGUGGGUGGUAAAUUCCAUCUAAAGCUAAAUAUUGGCGAGAGACCGAUAGCGAACAAGUACAGUGAUGGAAAGAUGAAAAGAACUUUGAAAAGAGAGUGAAAAAGUACGUGAAAUUGUUGAAAGGGAAGGGUUUGAGAUCAGACUCGAUAUUUUGUGAGCCUUGCCUUCGUGGCGGGGUGACCCGCAGCUUAUCGGGCCAGCAUCGGUUUGGGCGGUAGGAUAAUGGCGUAGGAAUGUGACUUUACUUCGGUGAAGUGUUAUAGCCUGCGUUGAUGCUGCCUGCCUAGACCGAGGACUGCGA
This 704-nucleotide ribosomal RNA is filed under the name Meyerozyma guilliermondii. Its description in RNAcentral is "eukaryotic LSU rRNA". The stretch from base 111 to 704 matches the Rfam family "Eukaryotic large subunit ribosomal RNA", at positions 1 to 600 of the family's 3401-position model. Lineage: Eukaryota; Fungi; Ascomycota; Pichiomycetes; Serinales; Debaryomycetaceae. The record is from RNAcentral.